This is a long non-coding RNA of Mauremys reevesii (Reeves's turtle), 2085 nucleotides long. RefSeq lists it as uncharacterized. The transcript is spliced from 3 exons. Lineage: Eukaryota; Metazoa; Chordata; Testudines; Geoemydidae. The record is from RefSeq and is a predicted model, not a curated record.
UAGGCCAGAGCCCUUUCUUGAUUGAUGCCCUGCCCUGAUUGAGGGCCCCGGGCAAACAGACUCUCUACCGUUACUUGGCCUGACUGCAGGCUAGGGCCAUUAACACUGAGCUAAUUGUCCCCUGAACCAAGGUACCCCCGGAAGUAUCGUAGCAAGGGGCAUGGUCAAAGGGGCUGACGGCGCCAGAAAUGGGGAUGGGGUGUGGAAACCUGCCAAAAACUGUUAGGUGAUGAAAGCUAUCAAAUGGUUAACUACUCUGUAACGGGCCGGUGUGGCUCCCCUCCUCCCCUGGGAGGGUUGAGCCCCGGACACCGGAAGGGGCGGGGCUACAGAACAGUGAGCCCGCCCCUCAGAGGGUCAGGCGGUGACCCAGAAGUAUAAAAGCCGGCCAUCCGAGCUCAGUCAGAGCCCAGCCACCGCCGGGAGCAAACCUGCCCGAGGGAGCUCGUGACUGGGAAGACACUGGGGCCCAGAGCAGUUGCCCGGACUGGCCGGAGCUUCCCCUCACUCGCUACCGGGAGGACCCGCCGGAGCUUCCCCGUGCCACCUACGACGAGGAGCCACCAGAGACUUCCCCUCUCCGCUGUUGUUACCCCGAGGAACCCCCGGAGCAGCACUGGCCGGACUUCCCCGAGGAACUGCCGGAUCUACCCCCCACCCGGGCUGCGAGGAGCCCAUGCUGUGGGACUUCCCGGGAGUGGACGCCGCGGACCAGAACACAGACCGCUCCACUGGAUCCCACAACCCAUACAGGGAGAAAGCCGUAGAAAAUGCUGACAUCUCCAAAAUCAUAUCAGGGCAAGAAAAGGCACUUGCUGUUUGCAACACUUGUACAGGACAGACACAGGGUGAGGGCUAGACUAAGUGGCCAUGGUUAGUCCUGCUCCAUCUCUACCGUCUCAGUUUCCAUCUACAGCUGUUCACACUCAAAAUGCAGGACAGGGAACCUGGCUAUGCCACUGCCUUAGUCAGCCCUGCCGCUGCAGCACACAUGGUAGCAGAUGAGACAGAAUGAGGCCCAGCUCCAGGAGGGUACCACAGCCAGUGCUGCGAAGGGAGCUGCAUGGCCUGUACGGCUGGGAGAGGACAAGGGUGGUCAUGGGGGAGAAGAGAGCCUGGCAGAGACAAAAUACUGCAAAUUAUGCAGAAACAGGGCUGAGCAAAAUUGUCUCCAGUGUCCGUUAGGGUGGAUUUCCCUGCACCCAGCCACCCAGAAGCAGGUAAGGGAACAGGGCCCCUGGGUGCCACGCUAGGGGUACAUGCAGUGCCCACAGCCAUUCCAGGGAGGCAGCUCAGAUAUGUAACUUACAUCCCCACUGGUCAAUUUCACCAUCGUUCUGCAGGAGGCGCCAUUGCUGCAGAAGCCCUGAAGGCUACCUGCAUUGAACCGUCCCUCCCAAUGAAGGCCAGGGCCUGGAGCCACUCCCUGAAUUAAACCCCCUUCUUGUGCAGUGGGUAGGUGAAGGCAGCCAAUGGCCUUUCAAGUCUUGGAUGGUUUCAGGGCCAGAAAGGGGGAUGGAGAGAGAGGAGGUCGGGGAGAGGUUACAUCCACCCUGGACUCCUCUCUGCAUUUCACCCCAAGUUACUAAGCUACAGCCUCCCCCCGCCUCUGGUGCCAAUGCUGAGGAGACUCUUGGGGGGUGAAUUGGUCUCCUGCACCCCUCACUCUCCUUCUCUGUUACCUGCUUCCCACAAUAGACAGACACAGUUAAACUCUCCCAGUGUCACAGUUACUGUCACUCACUGCCCCUGCACAGAGGCAUUUGUUCCCUGUCUUCCCAACUUACAUGGUACCAUGGGGAUGACUGCACCCAAAAGAACCUCUCGAUUUGUGCUGUCCUUUCACCUGUGUUGCUCCCUGAAAGCACAAUCACAUGCAACCACUAGGAGGCAGAUUUUGAAGACAAGAAACCAAUAUAACUCCAUAGUUCUAAGAGGCGAACGCCCCCAGCUACAGACAAUAGCAGGGGUACGCCAGGGGGUGUGCUAUGAGUUACUGCCCUGCAGAAGGGGUGCGGCAUAUAUAGUUUAUGGGAAUGUGCUUCCCCUUUGAUUGUACAUUACAAGGCUGCUCCUUAUUCCUGU